This 526-nucleotide ribosomal RNA is filed under the name uncultured bacterium. Its description in RNAcentral is "bacterial SSU rRNA". It matches the Rfam family "Bacterial small subunit ribosomal RNA", at positions 355 to 896 of the family's 1533-position model. The record is from RNAcentral.
CAAGGGAUAUUGCGCAAUGGGCGAAAGCCUGACGCAGCGACGCCGCGUGAGGGACGAAGGCCUUCGGGUCGUAAACCUCUUUUCUUGGUGAAGAGUAAGGACGGUAAUCAAGGAAUAAGCCCCGGCUAACUACGUGCCAGCAGUCGCGGUAAUACGUAGGGGGCGAGCGUUAUCCGGAUCCACUGGGCGUAAAGAGCGUGUAGGCGGCUUCCAAAGUUGGCAGUGAAAGGUCCUGGCUUAACUGGGAUAUACCUGCCAAUACUGGGGAGCUAGAGGGCAGCAGAGGAAAGUGGAACUCGCGGUGUAGCGGUGAAAUGUGUAGAUAUCGCGAGGAACACCAGUGGCGAAGGCGGCUUUCUGGGCUGUUCCUGACGCUGAGACGCGAAAGCGUGGGGAGUGAAGCGGAUUAGAUACCCGCGUAAUCCACGCCUUAAACGGUGGAUACUAGGUAUGGGGGGUAUCGACCCUCUCCGUGCCGAAGCUAACGCCUUAAGUAUCCCGCCUGGGGACUACGGCCGCAAGGCUA